Molecule: non-coding RNA, 122 nt
Organism: Triticum aestivum (bread wheat)
Lineage: Eukaryota; Viridiplantae; Streptophyta; Magnoliopsida; Poales; Poaceae
Source: Rfam
GGAGGUAACAUGUCGNCCAGCACUAAACCACCGGAUCCCAUCAGAACUCCGAAGUUAAGCAUGCUUGGGCGAGAGCAGUACUAGGAUGGGUGACCUCCUGGGAAGUCCUCAUGUUGCAUUCC